RNAcentral lists this ribosomal RNA (486 nucleotides) under uncultured bacterium. RNAcentral describes it as "partial 16S ribosomal RNA". It matches the Rfam family "Bacterial small subunit ribosomal RNA", at positions 30 to 507 of the family's 1533-position model. The record is from RNAcentral.
AUUGAACGCUGGCGGCAUGCCUUACACAUGCAAGUCGAACGGCAGCACGGGUGCUUGCACCUGGUGGCGAGUGGCGAACGGGUGAGUAAUACAUCGGAACAUGUCCUGUAGUGGGGGAUAGCCCGGCGAAAGCCGGAUUAAUACCGCAUACGAUCUACGGAUGACAGCGGGGGACCUUCGGGCCUCGCGCUAUAGGGUUGGCCGAUGGCUGAUUAGCUAGUUGGUGGGGUAAAGGCCUACCAAGGCGACGAUCAGUAGCUGGUCUGAGAGGACGACCGGCCACACUGGGACUGAGACACGGCCCAGACUCCUACGGGAGGCAGCAGUGGGGAAUUUUGGACAAUGGGCGAAAGCCUGAUCCAGCAAUGCCGCGUGUGUGAAGAAGGCCUUCGGGUUGUAAAGCACUUUUGUCCGGAAAGAAAUCCUUGGCCCUAAUACGGUCGGGGGAUGACGGUACCGGAAGAAUAAGCACCGGCUAACUACGUG